ACGAUUCGAUCUGUCGCUCAUUCGUCAAAAAAAAAAAAAAAUCCCUCUCCCGAUCGGCAACAGAGAAACCCUCGCCUCGCUCGGCUGCGCUGCGCGCCUGCGCCGCCGUCCUCGUCAGUUAUCAACCCGUGAUUCCCCGACGCGCCGGCCGCCAGGAGAUUAAAAAUCCAACAUGACGAGGACCAGUUCAAUUAAAUCCUUUUUCAGGAUUGAGGAUAUUAAGAUUUUUCGGUGCUAUCAAAAAAAUGAGGCAACACAAGGGGCUAUUACCUCUUGCAUUUCACGAUAAUGCUCCCAGUCCUUCUACUAUUGCUGGUGAAGAAAUGAUGGCCUCCAAUUAAGCAAAUCUUCAAUAAUUAGGUACCAAACAAUGUUUGCAAUGAUGCACUUUAUUAAACUAUUUGUUUUACAGAAUUUCCUCUCGUGAAAUAAUGAACUUAUAUUUUGUUUUUAAUGUGAAUUUGUGGUAUACCUCCAACACACAUU
This is a long non-coding RNA of Triticum aestivum (bread wheat), 486 nucleotides long. RefSeq lists it as uncharacterized. NCBI's taxonomy places the organism in Eukaryota, Viridiplantae, Streptophyta, Magnoliopsida, Poales, Poaceae. The transcript is spliced from 3 exons. The record is from RefSeq and is a predicted model, not a curated record.